CCUUAGAGUUUGAUCCUGGCUCAGGAUGAACGCUAGCGAUAGGCUUAACACAUGCAAGUCGAGGGGCAGCACGGAAUAGCAAUAUUUUGGUGGCGACCGGCGCACGGGUGAGUAACACGUAUGCAACCUACCCAUGACAGUGGAAUAACCCGUCGAAAGGCGGACUAAUACCGCAUAAUAAAGAGUGCUCGCAUGGGUACUUUUUCAAAGAUUUAUCGGUCAUGGAUGGGCAUGCGUUCCAUUAGGUAGUUGGCGGGGCAACGGCCCACCAAGCCUGCGAUGGAUAGGGGUUCUGAGAGGAAGGUCCCCCACACUGGUACUGAGACACGGACCGGACUCCUACGGGAGGCAGCAGUGAGGAAUAUUGGUCAAUGGGCGAGAGCCUGAACCAGCCAAAUCGCGUGAAGGAUGAAGGUAUUAUGUAUUGUAAACUUCUUUUACAGGGGAAUAAAGUGCGGGACGUGUCCCGUUUUGUAUGUACCCUGAGAAUAAGGAUCGGCUAACUCCGUGCCAGCAGCCGCGGUAAUACGGAGGAUCCAAGCGUUAUCCGGAUUUAUUGGGUUUAAAGGGUGCGUAGGCGGGGAAUCAAGUCAGCGGUGAAAGUUUGCGGCUCAACCGUAAAAUUGCCGUUGAAACUGGUUCUCUUGAGUGUAGAUGAGGUGGGUGGAAUUCGUGGUGUAGCGGUGAAAUGCUUAGAUAUCACGAAGAACUCCAAUUGCGUAGGCAGCUCACUGGGCUACAACUGACGCUGAGGCACGAAGGUGCGGGGAUCAAACAGGAUUAGAUACCCUGGUAGUCCACGCCGUAAACGA
Molecule: ribosomal RNA, 812 nt
Filed under: uncultured bacterium
Lineage: Bacteria
Description: bacterial SSU rRNA
Rfam family: Bacterial small subunit ribosomal RNA
Source: RNAcentral